RNAcentral lists this ribosomal RNA (776 nucleotides) under uncultured bacterium. RNAcentral describes it as "bacterial SSU rRNA". It matches the Rfam family "Bacterial small subunit ribosomal RNA", at positions 90 to 865 of the family's 1533-position model. The record is from RNAcentral.
GAUUAGUGGCGAACGGGUGUGUAACACGUGAGUAACCUGCCCUUGACUCUGGGAUAAGCCUGGGAAACCGGGUCUAAUACUGGAUACGACUCUUCUGGCGCAUGCCAUGUUGGUGGAAAGCUUUUGUGGUUUUGGAUGGACUCGCGGCCUAUCAGCUUGUUGGUGGGGUAAUGGCCUACCAAGGCGACGACGGGUAGCCGGCCUGAGAGGGUGACCGGCCACACUGGGACUGAGACACGGCCCAGACUCCUACGGGAGGCAGCAGUGGGGAAUAUUGCACAAUGGGCGCAAGCCUGAUGCAGCGACGCCGCGUGAGGGAUGAAGGCCUUCGGGUUGUAAACCUACUUUCAGUAGGGAAGAAGCCGGCCUUCGGGUUGGUGACGGUACCUGCAGAAGCGCCGGCUAACUACGUGCCAGCAGCCGCGGUAAUACGUAGGGCGCAAGCGUUAUCCGGAAUUAUUGGGCGUAAAGAGCUCGUAGGCGGUUUGUCGCGUCUGCCGUGAAAGUCCGGGGCUUAACCCCGGGCCUGCAGUGGGUACGGGCAGACUAGAGUGCGGUAGGGGAGACUGGAAUUCCUGGUGUAGCGGUGAAAUGCGCAGAUAUCAGGAGGAACACCGGUGGCGAAGGCGGGUCUCUGGGCCGUAACUGACGCUGAGGAGCGAAAGCAUGGGUAGCGAACAGGAUUAGAUACCCUGGUAGUUCCAUGCCGUAAACGUUGGGCGCUAGGUGUGGGGCUCAUUCCACGAGUUACCGUGCCGCAGCAAACGCUAUUAAGC